AACGAACGCUGGCGGCAUGCCUAACACAUGCAAGUCGAACGAGACCUCCGGGUCUAGUGGCGCACGGGUGCGUAACGCGUGGGAACCUGCCCUUAGGUUCGGAAUAACUCCCCGUAAGGGGUGCUAAUACCGGAUAAUGUCUUCGGACCAAAGAUUCAUCGCCCUUGGAUGGGCCCGCGUUGGAUUAGCUAGUCGGUAGGGUAAAAGCCUAUCACGGCGACGAUCCAUAGCUGGUCAGAGAGGAUGAUCAGCCACACUGGGACUGGGACACGGCCCAGACUCUUACGGGAGGGAGGAGUGGGGAAUAUAGGACAAUGGGCGAAAGCAUGAUGCAGCAAUGCCGCGUGAGUGAUGAAGGCCUUAGGGUUGUAAAGCUCUUUUACACGGGGUGAUAAUGACGGUACCGGGAGAAUAAGCUCCGGCUAACUCCGUG
Molecule: ribosomal RNA, 433 nt
Filed under: uncultured bacterium
Lineage: Bacteria
Description: partial 16S ribosomal RNA
Rfam family: Bacterial small subunit ribosomal RNA
Source: RNAcentral